Molecule: long non-coding RNA, 645 nt
Organism: Lepidothrix coronata (blue-crowned manakin)
Lineage: Eukaryota; Metazoa; Chordata; Aves; Passeriformes; Pipridae
Exons: 3
Source: RefSeq, a predicted model, not a curated record
UCGCACUGAAAAUAAAAAAGGAAGAGUAUGUAAGGUGUCUUAGAGCAGCAGCACCCACCCUGAGCUCCUGGGAAAUCCAGAGGUUCCUCUGGAGGCAAAGGAGGUGGACACGCUGUGCUCCUGCCAGUCUCCCCAUGGAAGAGGUGCUGAUGCCACCACUCCUGUAGGCUGCCAGGAAGACUCUGAGCCUUGUUCAUUCACUGCAGCUCAGGUGAAGUCUGAUAGCAACAGCCUUGUCUUGGAGGUUGUGCCAGGUGAGAGGGCAGCCUUUGCCCACCCUAUUCCUGUGCAUGUGGUUGGACUGUACAGUACCCCUACCAACACUAAAAUCAUCACUUAUCAAAUACUAACAGCUAAAAAAAACUAACCAGAAUUGACAUUUCCAAGGCAGGUUCCCAGGCUGCAGCUCAAGCUGUCAGUCAGCUGCCUGGUUCCUAAAUCUGUGCACAAUCCAAGAUGAAAGCUACUGCUGCUGCAAAAGGAACAACAGCACCUGAGCAAGUCUGGCCUGGAGUUCUUCACCACAGGACCUUUAAGAACCUGAAAGACAGUUUGGUAUGGUUAAUUCAAGCUGAAAAGUUUCCCCUCAAAGUUAAGGAUCCAAAACAUGAAGUUCAAAUUCACCUUUUCAACACUCCCAGGUUC